Molecule: ribosomal RNA, 362 nt
Filed under: uncultured fungus
Lineage: Eukaryota; Fungi
Description: eukaryotic LSU rRNA
Rfam family: Eukaryotic large subunit ribosomal RNA
Source: RNAcentral
AUAUCAAUAAGCGGAGGAAAAGAAACCAACAGGGAUUGCCUCAGUAACGGCGAGUGAAGCGGCAAAAGCUCAAAUUUGAAAUCUGGCUCUUUCAGGGUCCGAGUUGUAAUUUGUAGAAGAUGCUUCGGGUGUGGUUCCGGUCUAAGUUCCUUGGAACAGGACGUCAUAGAGGGUGAGAAUCCCGUAUGUGACUGGAUACCUAUGCUCAUGUGAAGCUCUUUCGACGAGUCGAGUUGUUUGGGAAUGCAGCUCAAAAUGGGUGGUAUAUUUCAUCUAAAGCUAAAUAUUGGCCAGAGACCGAUAGCGCACAAGUAGAGUGAUCGAAAGAUGAAAAGCACUUUGGAAAGAGAGUUAAACAGUAC